RNAcentral lists this long non-coding RNA (890 nucleotides) under Mytilus galloprovincialis (Mediterranean mussel). Lineage: Eukaryota; Metazoa; Mollusca; Bivalvia; Mytilida; Mytilidae. The record is from RNAcentral.
AAUCAAAGCACCAAAGGGUGCUAUAGGCAGUUAAUCAAAAACCCAAAGGCAAACUUGGCCACGUUCAGAUGAAUAGUGUAAAGAAUUAGUCAAAAUAUUUAUCUCAGGCAUUGUUCUCAGCUAUUUCUAAAGUAUCAAAUAAUGCUUGUACAGUAAUGUUUAUGUUAUGCAAUCCUACCACUUUCAAAAGUUAUUUCCAAUUUAUAUUUAUAAAGAUUCAAUGUCUGAGAUUAUACACAUACACUGUCCUAUGUUAGGGGAGAGUUUUGUGCCAGUUAAGAUGUUUAAGCCGCCACAUUCUGUAUGUACCUGUCCAUAGUGAGGACCCACUAAUGCGGUGAUUGUUGCUGUAUAUCAUAUUUAUUUUUCAUAAUUGUUUUGUACAUUUUUUAAAAUUUUAUUAAUUUCUUGUGUAUAUACUUCUGAUUUUAGUAUGAUGUCCAAGUUAUUGUAAAUGCUCUUUUGUUCCGACGUUGGAAAGUUCCAGGCGGAAAGAACUAACUAGCCGAAAAGUUCUCCAGAACUUAUUAACUACAUUGUAGUUACUUUGUUCUUCCUCUGGUUUAAAAGUUCCACCUGAACAAGUGACUAGUUGAAAUAGUUUACAUUUUUGUUAUCAUGGUUAUUGUGUUAAGGGGCCAGCAAAAGCAAUCCUUUGGGUGUAGGAGUUUCUCCCUGCAUUAAAGAUCCAUUGGUAACCUUCGACUGUUGUCUGCUCUAAGAUCUGGUUAUUGUCUCUAUGACACAUUCCCCAUUUUCACUCUCGAUUUUUUUUUACGUCUCAAAUUAUAACUGAAUUAAAAUAUGUUGAUUACGGUUUAACUGUCUUCCAUUACUAAUAUCAUAAUAAAAAAACAUUUAUUUAAACUUUCAAUAACUGUAAUAGUAAG